This 253-nucleotide ribosomal RNA is filed under the name uncultured bacterium. Its description in RNAcentral is "partial 16S ribosomal RNA". It matches the Rfam family "Bacterial small subunit ribosomal RNA", at positions 524 to 776 of the family's 1533-position model. The record is from RNAcentral.
UACGAAGGGUGCAAGCGUUACUCGGAAUUACUGGGCGUAAAGCGUGCGUAGGUGGUUUGUUAAGUCUGAUGUGAAAGCCCUGGGCUCAACCUGGGAAUUGCAUUGGAUACUGGCAGGCUAGAGUGCGGUAGAGGGUAGUGGAAUUCCCGGUGUAGCAGUGAAAUGCGUAGAGAUCAGGAAGAACACCCGUGGCGAAGGCGGCCCACUGGGCCGGUACUGACGCUGAGGCACGAAGGCGUGGGGAGCGAACGGG